Heterocephalus glaber (naked mole-rat) is the source of this 2000-nucleotide long non-coding RNA. Lineage: Eukaryota; Metazoa; Chordata; Mammalia; Rodentia; Bathyergidae. The record is from Ensembl.
CUGCCCUCGGCCACCUCCGCCUUCAUGGUAGCGUGGCCCCCGCGCCUAUAGCUCUGCCUAACCCCCGGGAACAGGGGUCCCGACGCUGGCGUAGCAGCAGAGGCGCCUCACCUCGUGCACAAUUCGUUUGCCAGAGCAGAGGAGUCAUUUAACGAAAGCCCAAAGUGAAACAGAAAAGCUGAAAACUCUCCCGGGCUCCGUUCUUGCUCCCGAGUCCCAAACAGUUAAAAGGACGUUGGCAAAGCUCCAGAGGAAGAGAGGACUGGAAACACUUCGAAGCACUAAGCGCGCGGCGGCGUUGGCCCUGAUGCAGGCGACACUGGAGCAGUGGCCCGCGGCCCGUGAUGACCUCCCAGGUCCGGCCGCUGACGUCACGAACUGGCCCUAGGCCUCGCCCCGGGCCGGCCAGUCGCCUCUGCCCCUGCAGGCUCCCUCGGUGGAGGGUGGGAAAGAGAAGUUUUGUCCAGGCUGGAGGAAGAAAUGAACAGGGCUGUGAAUCAUUCAAAUCUUGAAUGGGGUUGUUUGUGAAGGCGGGCGAGGGGGGGUUGCCUUCUCUACCUAACCCUGUGAUUCACAGCUUCUCAGAAAUUUACAUAAUACAAGGGCGUAGAUGUAAACCUAAAAGACAAAAAUAAUAAUUCAACAGCCCAUAUUCCAUUUUCGCACCAUGGGCCUGGAUAUGUUCCCGGUGUUGGCACAUUAGCUGAUUUUCAGAGCUUUUUGCUCACAACGGAGAACAUCUGAACUUUCACACCACUGUUGAAAGGAGAGGGAAAGAGAGAGAAAAGAGAAAAAGAAAUUGGCUUUAAUGAUGCUGAUUUAGAUUUCUGAGUAAUGGCAAAAGGUUUUAAUAAAUUUAGAACAUAUGCUGUGUACCAAAGGCAGCAGGCAUGGUUAUAAUUGGGGUCCCUCACUUUCCAAAGUAUUCCCCUUUUAUUUGGCAGAGCCUAACCCUAACCCUAACCCUAACCCUAACCCUAACCCUUUAAUAUUAAUAGAAAAUUCCAAUUUAUUAUUUCCCUAAAUAAGCGAAGGCCUCAACAUCUACUGAAAGAGAUCAUGUUGUCAACAGGGCUCCACUUGCUAACUCAAACAUAGGGUGGGAAAGCAAACCAGGCUGGUACAAAACACACAUGAUUGCUGUCAAUACCUUUCAAAUAAGACUUUUUUUCCCCUUCUGCCUUUGAUUUAGAUGCCAUCAGAUCAAAUUGUGGAGUCCCACUUGCUACAUUUUCUUGAGUCCCUGUGAAAAAGGUGGAGAAAGGAAAGGUGGGGGCAGAGAUUGUGAGAGCCCAGAGUCUCGGUAUUUUGGCCAAGAGGCUCCUGCACUGUGCCUUUCACAAGUGAGUCUGGUGUCCACGUCACUGGAAAGCUCAAGGACACUGCCCCAGCAGAGGCCCUUCCUCUCUUUUUGUUUAGGUGCUGGAGUCCAGGCCAUUGGAAAUCAGAAACCGGAGUUUUUCAUUCACCCUUUUCUGCCAUCUACAUUUUACUGUUGUCCUCCCCUGAAAAAUCCCUGUGCAAAAUUGGCCAUAUUCCCUAACAAUCUAAUCCCUCCAUAGUUUGCAGUUUAUUAUUUUAAGUUAAUUUCUAGAGGUUUCAGUUAAAAACUUUCCAAGUAGGAGUUCCAGAGGAGAAAAUGCCUUCUUUCUCAAAUGUACACAGUAGGGGCCCUCACAUCCCUGACCUCAACUGCUGCUGAAGGAUAAGAUACAGCCCGUCUUUUCCCUCCCAUUCCCAUCCUUUUAAAGUUGAAUUCUUCAAUUAUCUGUUGAAACCCAGAAAAUCUUUUCCUUCUUUUUAAGAAACGUCUUCAUAAGUCAUCCCAGGACCAAUUUAUUUGGGUGCUGGAAUAAAUGAUGCCAAUUUCCAGGCCAAGGCCUCCUAUCCUGGGUUCCCUAGUCAGGGAAGCUCAAACAAUGGACUCCUCCUUGGGGAAUGGGUGCUGUGGUUGUUCUUAGCUUUCAAUUGUUUUUCAGUCAAAGCCUCCUUCAUUCCUG